This 429-nucleotide long non-coding RNA is filed under the name Theobroma cacao (cacao). RNAcentral describes it as "long non-coding RNA (TCAC_LNC005003)". Lineage: Eukaryota; Viridiplantae; Streptophyta; Magnoliopsida; Malvales; Malvaceae. The record is from RNAcentral.
UCUUCUUCUUCUCCUUCCUCUCCCACGUUCUCUCACCCCCCGCCCCCCAUGAAAGCUUGCCUUGAAUUUCCAUAUAUUUCCUUGAAUUAACCUCGAUUUUUCAUGUUUUUGUGUACCCUUUCAUAGAGUUCUUUGUGCUCUUCUAUUUUUUCACCAUAAAACCCUCAAAAACCUUUCCUUAUUACACUCUCUCACUAGCUGGAUGUUCUAGAGAGAGAAAGUGAGAUUUUCAUGAUAGUUUCAAAACUUUUGGAAAAGAAAUUCAAUUGUAAAGCUACCAAGGUGAGUAGUGAAAUAGAGUUGAUUUCUUUUUAGUUGUUGAGAAUGGCUAGUGGCUAGAUUGGUGAGUGUUUUGUAGUUGAGGUGAGUUAUUCAUUGUAGUGUGACUAGAAUAAUGAAAAUACAUAGUCACUUAAUGGUAGAUGGAAG